RNAcentral lists this microRNA precursor (90 nucleotides) under Paramuricea clavata. Lineage: Eukaryota; Metazoa; Cnidaria; Anthozoa; Malacalcyonacea; Plexauridae. The record is from RNAcentral.
AGUUUAUACCUUUAGUAGAAGCACUUGAAAUCCAGCUUUAAAUCAUGAUUUUAAAGCUGGAUUACAAGUGUGUCUACUAAAGGUAUAAAC